Molecule: ribosomal RNA, 471 nt
Filed under: uncultured organism
Description: partial 16S ribosomal RNA
Rfam family: Bacterial small subunit ribosomal RNA
Source: RNAcentral
ACACUCCUGCGGGAGGCAGCAGUGGGGAAUUUUGGACAAUGGGCGAAAGCCUGAUCCAGCAAUGCCGCGUGUGUGAAGAAGGCCUUCGGGUUGUAAAGCACUUUUGUCCGGAAAGAAAUCCUUGGCUCUAAUACAGUCGGGGGAUGACGGUACCGGAAGAAUAAGCACCGGCUAACUACGUGCCAGCAGCCGCGGUAAUACGUAGGGUGCGAGCGUUAAUCGGAAUUACUGGGCGUAAAGCGUGCGCAGGCGGUUUGCUAAGACCGAUGUGAAAUCCCCGGGCUCAACCUGGGAACUGCAUUGGUGACUGGCAGGCUAGAGUAUGGCAGAGGGGGGUAGAAUUCCACGUGUAGCAGUGAAAUGCGUAGAGAUGUGGAGGAAUACCGAUGGCGAAGGCAGCCCCCUAGGCCAAUACUGACGCUCAUGCACGAAAGCGUGGGGAGCAAACAGGAUUAGAAACCCGUGUAGUCC